CAGCAGCCGCGGUAAUACGUAGGUGGCAAGCGUUGUCCGGAAUUAUUGGGCGUAAAGGGCUCGCAGGCGGUUUCUUAAGUCUGAUGUGAAAGCCCCCGGCUCAACCGGGGAGGGUCAUUGGAAACUGGGAAACUUGAGUGCAGAAGAGAGAGUGGAAUUCCACGUGUAGCGGUGAAAUGCGUAGAGAUGUGGAGGAACACCAGUGGCGAAGGCGACUCUCUGGUCUGUAACUGACGCUGAGGAGCGAAAGCGUGGGGAGCGAACAGGAUUAGAUACCCCGGUAGUCCCUGUCUCUUAUACA
RNAcentral lists this ribosomal RNA (301 nucleotides) under uncultured bacterium. RNAcentral describes it as "partial 16S ribosomal RNA". It matches the Rfam family "Bacterial small subunit ribosomal RNA", at positions 509 to 808 of the family's 1533-position model. The record is from RNAcentral.